RNAcentral lists this ribosomal RNA (216 nucleotides) under uncultured bacterium. RNAcentral describes it as "partial 16S ribosomal RNA". It matches the Rfam family "Bacterial small subunit ribosomal RNA", at positions 326 to 539 of the family's 1533-position model. The record is from RNAcentral.
ACGCUCGACACCUACGGGGCAGCAGUGAGGAAUAUUGGUCAAUGGGCGCUAGCCUGAACCAGCCAAGUAGCGUGAAGGAUGAAGGCUCUAUGGGUCGUAAACUUCUUUUAUAUAAGAAUAAAGUGCAGUAUGUAUACUGUUUUGUAUGUAUUAUAUGAAUAAGGAUCGGCUAACUCCGUGCCAACAGCCGCGGUAAUCUGAGCGGGCUGGCAAGGC